Molecule: ribosomal RNA, 498 nt
Filed under: Triticum aestivum (bread wheat)
Lineage: Eukaryota; Viridiplantae; Streptophyta; Magnoliopsida; Poales; Poaceae
Description: partial small subunit ribosomal RNA
Source: RNAcentral
AUGUUCUGCCUGCUCGUGUCUUCGGAGCCGCUCCGCCGCGCGCUGCUCCUGCCCGAGUCCGAGCCGCCGAGCACAGCAAGCUACAGGGCGGCCGUCGUAGGCCCGUGUACCCCGCCGCUGGCCGUUUCUCGCCACGUCGCAGUGGAUAUCCCCGAUGGUUACGUCGAGGUCGACGAUUCGGACGUCUGCGAAUCAGAGAUGACGCAGCACAUAAGCCCCGUGCGUAGGGUGCUCGUGAAGGCAGCGUUGGUUGCGUACACGGCGUUUGCCGCACCCGCCUUUCUGGGGACAGCGGCCAGGCGGAGCAGCAACUGGUUCCAGAUGCUGCUGGUUGUGGUGCUGGUGGUUCUCACCUUCCUGUCGCUUUUCAUGGCCACGUUGUGCGCCUUGGAAGACGAGGACAGGGAGAGGGAGGAACAAGGGGACGAUGGCAUCGACGUCCGCGGAUUCGUAAUGAUUAACUGGCUCCAACAAGCGUGGAAUAACGUGAAGAUGUAA